AGAGUUUGAUCAUGGCUCAGGAUGAACGCUGGCGGCGUGCCUAACACAUGCAAGUCGAGCGAUUUACUUCGGUAAAGAGCGGCGGACGGGUGAGUAACGCGUGGGUAACUUGCCCUGUACACACGGAUAACAUACCGAAAGGUAUGCUAAUACGAGAUAAUAUGCUUUUAUCGCAUGGUAGAAGUAUCAAAGCUUUUGCGGUACAGGAUGGACCCGCGUCUGAUUAGCUAGUUGGUAAGGUAACGGCUUACCAAGGCGACGAUCAGUAGCCGACCUGAGAGGGUGAUCGGCCACAUUGGAACUGAGACACGGUCCAAACUCCUACGGGAGGCAGCAGUGGGGAAUAUUGCACAAUGGGCGAAAGCCUGAUGCAGCAACGCCGCGUGAGCGAUGAAGGCCUUCGGGUCGUAAAGCUCUGUCCUCAAGGAAGAUAAUGACGGUACUUGAGGAGGAAGCCCCGG
RNAcentral lists this ribosomal RNA (461 nucleotides) under uncultured bacterium. Its description in RNAcentral is "bacterial SSU rRNA". It matches the Rfam family "Bacterial small subunit ribosomal RNA", at positions 8 to 496 of the family's 1533-position model. The record is from RNAcentral.